GUCGAGAAUCUUUCACAAUGGGGGCAACCCUGAUGGAGCGACGCCGCGUGGAGGAUAAGGUCUUCGGAUUGUAAACUCCUGUCAUGCGUGAACAAGGUUGCUUGGUUAAUACCUGGGCAAAUUGAUGGUAACGCAAGAGGAAGAGACGGCUAACUCUGUGCCAGCAGCCGCGGUAAUACAGAGGUCUCAAGCGUUGUUCGGAAUCACUGGGCGUAAAGGGUGCGUAGGUGGCGUGGUAAGUCAGAUGUGAAAGCCCGGGGCUCAACCUCGGAACUGCAUCCGAUACUGCCAUGCUGGAGUACUGGAGAGGUGACUAGAAUUCUCGGUGUAGCAGUGAAAUGCGUAGAUAUCGAGAGGAAUACCAAAGGCGUAGGCAGGUCACUGGACAGUUACUGACACUGAGGCACGAAGGCCAGGGGAGCGAACGGGAUUAGAAACCCGGGUAGUCC
RNAcentral lists this ribosomal RNA (449 nucleotides) under uncultured bacterium. RNAcentral's name for it is "partial 16S ribosomal RNA". It matches the Rfam family "Bacterial small subunit ribosomal RNA", at positions 354 to 796 of the family's 1533-position model. The record is from RNAcentral.